GCUCCCCCACCCCACGCCAGGAGUGCGCAGGCGCGCCGACCGCCGAGUUUUCUGCACUUCCUUCUCCCUCUGUCCAGACGUCGUGGGUGUUCGGUCUUAUGUCGCGCCGGGCCCUCCGGAGGCUCAGGGGGGAACAGCGCGGCCAAGAGCCCCUCGGGCCCGGCGCCCUGCAGUUCGAUCUCCGUGAUGAGGAUGACGCGGAAGAAGAAGGGCCCAAGCGGGAGCUGGGUGUUCGGCGCCCCCGGGGCGCAGGGAAGGAGGGCGUCCGAGUCAACAACCGCUUCGAGCUGAUAAACAUUGACGACCUUGAGGAUGACCCUGUGGUGAACGGGGAGGGGUCUGGCUGUGCGCUCACAGACGCUGCGGCACCAGGGCACAAAGGAAGGGCUCAGCGUGGAAACACAGAGAGCAAGACGGAUGGAGACGUCGCCGAGACAGCGCCCCCAGAGCAGUCUAAUGCAAGUGGCAAACUCCGGAAGAAGAAAAAGAAACAGAAAAAUAAGAAAAGCAGCACGGGAGAAGCAUCGGAGAACGGACUAGAAGAUAUCGAUCGCAUCCUAGAGAGGAUUGAGGACAGCGCUGGGUGGAACCGUCCCGGCCCAGCUCCCCUGAGCUCCAGGAAGCACGUGCUCUACGUGGAGCACAGACACUUGAAUCCAGACACAGAACUGAAAAGGUAUUUUGGUGCCCGGGCAGUCCUGGGGGAGCAAAGGCCACGGCAGAGACAACGCGUGCACCCCAAGUGCACAUGGCUGACCACCCCUAAGAGCACCUGGCCCCGGUACAGCAAACCAGGUCUGUCCAUGCGGCUGCUGGAAUCAAAAAAAGGCCUCUCCUUCUUUGCGUUCGAGCACAGUGAGGAGUACCAGCAGGCUCAGCACAAGUUCCUGGUGGCCGUGGAGUCUAUGGAGCCGAACAACAUUGUGGUUCUGCUCCAGACAAGCCCUUACCACGUCGACUCGCUCCUGCAGCUCAGCGAUGCCUGCCGCUUUCAAGAGGAUCAGGAGAUGGCUCGAGACCUCGUAGAGAGAGCGCUGUACAGCAUGGAAUGUGCGUUCCACCCCCUGUUCAGUCUCACCAGCGGGGCCUGCCGGCUGGAUUACCGCAGACCCGAGAACAGGAGCUUCUAUCUGGCCCUCUACAAGCAGAUGAGCUUCCUGGAGAAGCGAGGCUGCCCGCGCACAGCGCUGGAGUACUGCAAGCUCAUCCUGAGUCUCGAGCCGGAUGAGGACCCCCUCUGCAUGCUGCUGCUCAUUGACCACCUGGCCUUGCGGGCCCGGAACUACGAGUACCUGAUCCGCCUCUUCCAGGAGUGGGAGGCUCAUCGGAACCUGUCCCAGCUCCCAAAUUUUGCCUUCUCCGUUCCACUGGCAUAUUUCCUGCUGAGCCAGCACACAGACCUCCCUGAGCAUGAGCGGAGCUCUGCCAGGGAGAAGGCCUCUCUCCUGAUACAGCAGGCGCUCACCAUGUUCCCUGGAGUCCUCCUGCCCCUGCUUGAGUCCUGCAGUGUGCGGCCCGACACCACCGUUUCCAGUCACCGCUUCUUCGGACCCAAUGCUGAGAUAAGCCAGCCGCCUGCCCUGAGCCAGCUGGUGAGCCUGUACCUCGGGAGGUCACACUUCCUCUGGAAGGAGCCAGCCACCAUGAGCUGGCUGGAGGAGAACGUCCACGAGGUUCUGCAGGCAGUGGACGCCGGGGACCCAGCCGUGGAAGCCUGUGAGAACCGGCGGAAGGUGCUCUACCAGCGUGCACCCAGGAAUAUCCACCGCCAUGUGAUCCUCUCUGAGAUCAAGGAAGCCGUUGCUGCCCUGCCCCCGGACGUGACCACGCAGUCUGUGAUGGGGUUUGACCCUCUGCCUCCUUCGGACACAAUCUACUCCUACGUCAGGCCAGAGAGGCUAAGUCCCAUCAGCCAUGGAAACACAAUUGCACUCUUCUUCCGGUCACUGUUGCCAAACUAUGCCCUGGAGGGGGAGAGGCCCGAGGAAGGAGUGGCCGGGGGUCUGAACCGCAACCAGGGCCUGAACAGGCUGAUGCUGGCUGUACGCGACAUGAUGGCCAACUUCCACCUCAACGACCUGGAGGCGCCGCACGAGGACGACGCUGACGGGGAGGGGGAGUGGGACUGAGCGUCCGCAGAGGUGACCGAAAAGCCGUACGAUGAUGUUCCUGAUUUCUGUGCUGGUCGGAGUCGGCCAGUUGCCUGAAGUAGGGGUGCUGACUGUGUCGCUACCUGGUCCACUGUUUCUCCUAUAAAUGAGGCAGCAGGCAGGAGGGGCUGCCCAAGGCUCUAGGGCGGCCAGUGUGGCAGGAAACACGUUCCAGCCCCAGCUAGGUACUGGUCCGUGGACCCACCUCCCAGAAAGCCCAUCACUGUGUAAUCCUCUAACCUGGGGUUCCCCGAGGCCUAUGCCUUGAGUCCACCCAAGUGGGGAUGUGAUGUUUAGAGCUGCAGCAGCCGCCCUACGGUUGGGAGUCAGAGAUGAGCCGGUGUUCCAGGGACAGUGCAGCAGAGGCUGAGCGCAGGCCUGCUGUGCUGAGAGGUGGCUGGAUCACUGAUGCUUUGGCAGUGGUGCUGGGGUUUCUGUCAUGACCUGCAGCUGAGCCUUUUUCUAAUGACCGUGAGAUCUGAAAGACUGCUUUGAAGGACACCUUCAAAGGAAGCCUCUGCCAUGCGUGUGGGGAAUGCUGGAUGCUGCUUCCUCCUUUGGCCCUGCUCAGCCCAGCGAGAGGCCAAGGCACAUGUGGCUCCUGGGUGCCCAUAGGCAGCGUGGCUACCCGCUGGGCCCGUUUCCACCGAGCCGGAACCCCCCAGUCUUCAAUGCAGGCACCACGGGGGGCCCACGAGAAACCCUGCUUGCCACCUCCCACACCCCCACCCCCAGGUUCAAAGGAAAUGGCCCCUGAGCCAAGGGCUGAGA
This is an RNA transcript of Nomascus leucogenys (northern white-cheeked gibbon), 2921 nucleotides long. It is a transcript of the gene named transcription factor 25, with no coding region annotated. Lineage: Eukaryota; Metazoa; Chordata; Mammalia; Primates; Hylobatidae. The record is from RefSeq and is a predicted model, not a curated record. The transcript has 20 exons.